Non-coding RNA from Camellia sinensis, 643 nucleotides. The record is from RefSeq and is a predicted model, not a curated record. NCBI's taxonomy places the organism in Eukaryota, Viridiplantae, Streptophyta, Magnoliopsida, Ericales, Theaceae.
CAAAACAAAAACCCUAAUUUCAUCUUUCAAACUCAAUUUCAUCUUUCAAACUCAAAACAAAGCGCAUCUUUCACUCUCUCUCGUGUUUCAGUCUCUCACUCUCUCGUUUUUCAUCUGGACCGAUCAACCUAGCGAGAGAUCAAAUUUCUCUCCUCGCAAGAUCGAAUCUUUCUCCGGCAACUCUCAGCCUCUCUUCUAAUCUCACUCUCUCGUUUUUCCAUCUCUCUCUCUCUCUCUCUCUCUCUCUCUGUGUGUUGACCGGUGAAGAGAUCGAUUGACCUUCGCAAGAUCGACUCUGCUCUGCAACUCACAAGGGGAGCGGGAAAGAGCAGUCAUGGAAGAAAUUUUGGAAAUGAUAUUCAUCAAAUGAAUCAAUGGCUACUAUGUAAAUUCUUGAUCUAGGAAGAAAGAAAGGUUCUGAAGUGUUGUUAGGUCUGUAAAAACAUAAAUCUUGAGAUUGUGAUUUUCAUACAUAAGUACAUUGGAUUGAUUGGAUAUUCGUCAGUAUAAUUGUGAUUUUUUUUUUUUACUAUGCUUCUACUUGGUUGAUUUUUUUUAAAAAAAUAUUUAAUGUCAUGUAUAUAUUAGUUGCAGAAGCAUAAGUUUAUUAUUUUAUGGUUCAUUGAUGUUCUCAUUUUUUAUC